This 341-nucleotide long non-coding RNA is filed under the name Prunus persica (peach). Its description in RNAcentral is "long non-coding RNA (PPER_LNC002649)". Lineage: Eukaryota; Viridiplantae; Streptophyta; Magnoliopsida; Rosales; Rosaceae. The record is from RNAcentral.
AACACAUCAAUCCCCCUCUCACAAGCUGGUCCAGUCUACUUCAUCUGCCCUACUCCAGGUCACUGUGCCAGUGGCAUGAAGGUUACAGUCACUGUUGUGGCAGCUGGCAGCCCUCCUACCACUUCUCCCACAACUCCAUCUCCACCCACCUCCACUCCGUCUCCACCCACCUCCACUCCGUCUCCACCCACCACUCCUGCCAGCAAUAAUGGUUCGUCGCCGCCACCCCCGCCACCUUCCGGAGCAGCAGCUCUUAGCAUGAAUAUGCUUGGGGUUCCACUUGCGCUGGCAACCUUGGUUGCAUUCAUGGGCUAGGGAGGAGGCAGUGCGGUUGAUCUUUU